Molecule: ribosomal RNA, 474 nt
Filed under: uncultured bacterium
Lineage: Bacteria
Description: bacterial SSU rRNA
Rfam family: Bacterial small subunit ribosomal RNA
Source: RNAcentral
GACGAACGCUGGCGGCGUGCCUAACACAUGCAAGUCGAGCGGGGUUGAAGCGAGGGGUAACUCGAGUUUCUACCUAGCGGCGGACGGGUGAGUAACGCGUGGGCAACCUGCCUCAAGGACUGGGAUAACAGCUCGAAAGGGCUGCUAAUACCGGAUAAGCCCAUGGCCUCGCAUGGGGCCAUGAGCAAAGGGGAAACCGCCUUGAGAUGGGCCCGCGUCCCAUCAGCUAGUUGGUGAGGUGAAGGCUCACCAAGGCGACGACGGGUAGCCGGCCUGAGAGGGUGACCGGCCACACUGGGACUGAGACACGGCCCAGACUCCUACGGGGGGCAGCAGUGGGGAAUCUUGCACAAUGGGCGAAAGCCUGAUGCAGCGACGCCGCGUGAGCGAAGAAGGCCUUCGGGUUGUAAAGCUCUGUCUGGAGGGACGAAGGAAGUGACGGUACCUCCGGAGGAAGCCACGGCUAACUACGUG